GAUGAAGAACGCAGCGAAAUGCGAUAAGUAAUGCGAAUUGCAGAAUUCCAGUGAGUCAUCGAAUCUUUGAACGCACAUUGCGCCCUUUGGUAUUCCGAAGGGCAUGCCUGUUCGAGCGUCAUUGCUGCCCUCAAGCACGGCUUGUGUGUUGGGCCCCGUCCUCCGAUCCCGGGGGACGGGCCCGAAAGGCAGCGGCGGCACCGCGUCCGGUCCUCGAGCGUAUGGGGCUUUGUCACCCGCUCUGUAGGCCCGGCCGGCGCUUGCCGAUCAACCCAAAUUUUUAUCCAGGUUGACCUCGGAUCAGGUAGGGAUACCCGCUGAACUUAAGCAUAUCAAUAAGCGGAGGA
This 347-nucleotide unclassified non-coding RNA is filed under the name soil metagenome. RNAcentral describes it as "partial contains 5.8S ribosomal RNA, internal transcribed spacer 2, and large subunit ribosomal RNA". The stretch from base 1 to 121 matches the Rfam family "5.8S ribosomal RNA", at positions 35 to 154 of the family's 154-position model. The record is from RNAcentral.